GUCUACAGCCAUAAUACCCUGAAUGUGCCCGAUCCCAUCUGAUCUCAGAAGUUAAGCAGGGUCGGAUCUGGUUAGAACUUGGUUAGGAGAAAAAGUGGCAUAGAUAUAGACA
This 112-nucleotide ribosomal RNA is filed under the name Sapajus apella (tufted capuchin). The record is from RNAcentral. RNAcentral also lists the same sequence under 1 other name. Lineage: Eukaryota; Metazoa; Chordata; Mammalia; Primates; Cebidae.